This 205-nucleotide microRNA precursor is filed under the name Oryza sativa Japonica Group (Japanese rice). RNAcentral describes it as "MIR812 microRNA precursor family". It matches the Rfam family "MIR812 microRNA precursor family". Lineage: Eukaryota; Viridiplantae; Streptophyta; Magnoliopsida; Poales; Poaceae. The record is from Rfam by way of RNAcentral.
AAAAAUACAAACCCUGAGUUUCCGUGUCCAACUUUAACUGUUCGUCUUAUAUGAAAUUUUUUUAUAAUUCGUAUUUUCAUUGUUGUUAGAUGAUAAAACAUGAUUAAUAUUUUAUGCGUGACUUGUCUUUUUAAUUUUUUUCAUAAUUUUUUCAAAUAAGACGGACGGUUAAACGUUGGGCACGGAAACCAGGGUUUGUCUUUUU